This 253-nucleotide ribosomal RNA is filed under the name uncultured bacterium. RNAcentral's name for it is "partial 16S ribosomal RNA". It matches the Rfam family "Bacterial small subunit ribosomal RNA", at positions 524 to 776 of the family's 1533-position model. The record is from RNAcentral.
GACGGAGGGGGCUAGCGUUGUUCGGAAUUACUGGGCGUAAAGAGCGCGUAGGCGGAUUAAUAAGUUGGAAGUGAAAGCCCGGGGCUUAACCUCGGAACAGCUUUCAAAACUGUUAAUCUUGAGUGUAGUAGGGGAUGAUGGAAUUCCUAGUGUAGAGGUGAAAUUCUUAGAUAUUAGGAGGAACACCGGUGGCGAAGGCGGUCAUCUGGGCUACAACUGACGCUGAGGCGCGAAAGCGUGGGGAGCAAACAGG